GACGAACGCUGGCGGCGUGCUUAACACAUGCAAGUCGAACGGUUCUGCCCUGUUUUUUGCGGGGUGGGUCAGUGGCGAACGGGUGAGUAACACGUGAGUAACCUGCCCCUCACUUCUGGAUAACCGCUUGAAAGGGUGGCUAAUACGGGGUGUUCUGGCUGUGCCGCAUGGUGUGGCUGGGAAAGAUUCACUUUUGUGGUGUUUUGGUGGGGGAUGGGCUCGCGGCCUAUCAGCUUGUUGGUGGGGUGAUGGCCUGCCAAGGCUUUGACGGGUAGCCGGCCUGAGAGGGUGGGCGGUCACACUGGGACUGAGAUACGGCCCAGACUCCUGCGGGAGGCAGCAGUGGGGGGUAUUGCACAAUGGGCGGAAGCCUGAUGCAGCGACGUCGCGUGAGGGAUGGAGGCCUUCGGGUUGUGAACCUCUUUCGCCGGUGAAGAAGGUCCUGCUCUUUGUGGUGGGGUUGACGGUAGCCGGGUUAUGAAGCGCCGGCUAACUACGUG
RNAcentral lists this ribosomal RNA (500 nucleotides) under uncultured bacterium. RNAcentral describes it as "partial 16S ribosomal RNA". It matches the Rfam family "Bacterial small subunit ribosomal RNA", at positions 28 to 507 of the family's 1533-position model. The record is from RNAcentral.